UCCUACGGGAGGCAGCAGUGGGGAAUCUUGCACAAUGGAGGAAACUCUGAUGCAGCGAUGCCGCGUGAGUGAAGAAGGCCCUUGGGUUGUAAAGCUCUUUCGUCGGGGAAGAAAAUGACUGUACCCGAAUAAGAAGGUCCGGCUAACUUCGUGCCAGCAGCCGCGGUAAUACGAAGGGACCUAGCGUAGUUCGGAAUUACUGGGCUUAAAGAGUUCGUAGGUGGUUGAAAAAGUUAGUGGUGAAAUCCCAGAGCUUAACUCUGGAACUGCCAUUAAAACUUUUCAGCUAGAGUAUGAUAGAGGAAAGCAGAAUUUCUAGUGUAGAGGUGAAAUUCGUAGAUAUUAGAAAGAAUACCAAUUGCGAAGGCAGCUUUCUGGAUCAUUACUGACACUGAAGAACGAAAGCAUGGGUAGCGAAGAGGAUUAGAUACCCUCGUAGUCCAUGCCGUAAACGAUGUGUGUUAGACGUUGGAAAUUUAUUUUCAGUGUCGCAGCGAAAGCGAUAAACACACCGCCUGGGGAGUACGACCGCAAGGUUAAAACUCAAAUGAAUUGACGG
RNAcentral lists this ribosomal RNA (559 nucleotides) under uncultured bacterium. RNAcentral's name for it is "bacterial SSU rRNA". It matches the Rfam family "Bacterial small subunit ribosomal RNA", at positions 337 to 916 of the family's 1533-position model. The record is from RNAcentral.